GAAUAGGAGAGAUUGGUACGUGGGGGAGGAAUGAUUGCUGUAUAACUUAUAUACUAAAAUGAUGCACUUGGGGAUUCUUCAGGAUGAUGAAAGACACUAAGGAAAUUCAAAUUACUCAGUAAUGUUAUGAUUAUAAAUUACAGAUUGAUCAAAGACAGAAAGGAAUGAGUAGGACAGAGAGAAUCACAGCCCAGUGUUGGGAAGUCACACACCGCUCCACUCUUCUAGACACCAAAGGUUUUGGUAUCAAGCAGGAAACAGAACCUACGAGUAAGCUAGGUAAAGAUUCCACUCUGGUCAUUUGAUUGGAAUGCUGCAGAAAAGACCUGAGACACCACAGACCACAAAAAGAAGACUUUUGAAGGACUCCUAGAUUUAUCAACCAAUGACUCAAGCCCCUGGGAGGCCGAACCAUCCUACUUUCCACAGAAGCCUGAGACUGGGGAUUUCAUAAAGCUGGUCCAUACUCUCGAAGAAUGAGUGUGUGCAGGUGAUUUCAGUCAACAGCAGAGCCAGAUCGGGACAAUGAUCGGGACAAUUCCGCUGCUGCUAGGAGGUUUCGUGCAACUUUGUUUUAAAAGUUGGGGCUCUAGCCUGUGUUUCUGCUGUUGAGGCCAAUCACCAUCAUUACCAGCGUCUUUGAAGCUGUCUCUGUUUCUUCCAAAGGAAAAGAAAAACUGUCCAUCCGCCUUGUAACGUGUGUCAGAAUUGCCCCCCACUUUAAGGCUGGAUAAUAUUCCGUUGUAUGUGUAAGCCACAUUUUGUUUGCCCAGCCAUCUGUUGGCUGAGUCCCGGAGUUUUUAAAAAAAGUAACUUUAUUGAGAUAUAGUUUCCAUUUAAUAAAUUGUAUCCAUUUAAAGUGUAUCAAUUGACGUUUUGACAGAUAUAUACACUUGUGAAAUAAUUGCCUCAGUUGAGACACAGGACGUUUAGAUCAUUCUCAAAAGAUUUAAACUGAUUGUCUUUUGAUAGUUUUGUGACAACUGUUAGGAUAGUUGGUGAAGCAGAUGCUGUAAGUUGCAUACCCAACAUCCAUUUCCCCUUCCUCUUUUCUCAGAGCAUCUGUCGUACUGGAGCAUUCAACACAAUGUUUGACACCACUUCAAGGGAAGUUCUAGCUGAGGGAUUCUGAUUAUUUUAUUUUAUUUUAUUAUUUUUAUGUUAUAAGAAGUUUGAAUUUCUUAUCCGUCAGUUAGUUUGUUUUUUGAUCUCAGGAAUAGAACCCAGUGAUUCAUCCCUUACAUAUAACACCCAGCGUUCAUCCCAACACGUGCCCUCCUUAAUGUCCUUCACCCAUUGAGCCCAUCCCCCCACCCCAAAC
Molecule: long non-coding RNA, 1321 nt
Organism: Felis catus (domestic cat)
Lineage: Eukaryota; Metazoa; Chordata; Mammalia; Carnivora; Felidae
Exons: 5
Source: RefSeq, a predicted model, not a curated record